UUUUUAUGAGAGUUUGAUCCUGGCUCAGGACGAACGCUGGCGGCGUGCCUAAUACAUGCAAGUCGUACGCUUCUUUUUCCACCGGAGCUUGCUCCACCGGAAAAAGAGGAGUG
This 113-nucleotide ribosomal RNA is filed under the name Enterococcus faecium. RNAcentral's name for it is "partial 16S ribosomal RNA". It matches the Rfam family "Bacterial small subunit ribosomal RNA", at positions 1 to 97 of the family's 1533-position model. Lineage: Bacteria; Bacillati; Bacillota; Bacilli; Lactobacillales; Enterococcaceae. The record is from RNAcentral.